This 465-nucleotide ribosomal RNA is filed under the name uncultured bacterium. Its description in RNAcentral is "partial 16S ribosomal RNA". It matches the Rfam family "Bacterial small subunit ribosomal RNA", at positions 338 to 795 of the family's 1533-position model. The record is from RNAcentral.
CCUACGGGAGACUGCAGUGAGGAAUAUUGGUCAAUGGACGAGAGUCUGACGCAGCGACGCCGCGUGAGGGAUGAAGGUCUUCGGAUCGUAAACCUCUGUCAGCAGGGAAGAACGGUCACUGUGCUAAUCAGCAGUGAAUUGACGGUACCUGCAAAGGAAGCACCGGCUAACUCCGUGCCAGCAGCCGCGGUAAUACGGAGGGUGCGAGCGUUAAUCGGAAUUACUGGGCGUAAAGCGCUCGUAGGCGGUAUGUCAAGUCAAGGGUGAAAUCCCCGCGCUCAACGUGGGAACUGCCUUUGAAACUGGCAAACUGGAGUGUGUGAGAGGAUAGUGGAAUUCCAGGUGUAGGAGUGAAAUCCGUAGAUAUCUGGAGGAACAUCAGUGGCGAAGGCGACUAUCUGGCACAUAACUGACGCUGAGGAGCGAAAGCGUGGGUAGCAAACAGGAUUAGAUACCCUAGUAGUC